This is a long non-coding RNA of Bubalus bubalis (water buffalo), 305 nucleotides long. RefSeq lists it as uncharacterized. The record is from RefSeq and is a predicted model, not a curated record. The transcript has 5 exons. Lineage: Eukaryota; Metazoa; Chordata; Mammalia; Artiodactyla; Bovidae.
UGAGGAGGAAGAUAAUGAGUUCCUGUUUGUGCUUUGUGCUGGGAAGGCUGAAAUGAAGUUUUUGAGAGGUUGAAAGGAAAUAAUCCAGAUAAGAGGUCAGCCUUGAAGCCAUGGACAGCUAUCAUAUGGCCCGGAGAGACUGAUAGGAAGAAGAAGGGAGCAGAAAGCCAAAACCCCUACUGAGCAGCUAGAGGCUGGGAGAGCUCUUGCAGAGAGCAGAAGAGAGGAACAGACAGAAGCAUGUGGUGAGCAUCACUCAGUUGUGUCUGACUCUUCGUGACCCCCAUGGACUGCAGCACUCCAGG